This 74-nucleotide ribosomal RNA is filed under the name Actinoplanes philippinensis. RNAcentral describes it as "Bacterial small subunit ribosomal RNA". It matches the Rfam family "Bacterial small subunit ribosomal RNA", at positions 1 to 74 of the family's 1533-position model. The record is from Rfam by way of RNAcentral. Lineage: Bacteria; Bacillati; Actinomycetota; Actinomycetes; Micromonosporales; Micromonosporaceae. RNAcentral also lists the same sequence under 3 other names.
UUGUUGGAGAGUUUGAUCCUGGCUCAGGACGAACGCUGGCGGCGUGCUUAACACAUGCAAGUCGAGCGGAAAGG